RNAcentral lists this RNase P RNA (403 nucleotides) under Chroococcus sp. CMT-3BRIN-NPC107. Its description in RNAcentral is "RNase P RNA component class A". It matches the Rfam family "Bacterial RNase P class A". From Rfam's summary of the family: Ribonuclease P (RNase P) is a ubiquitous endoribonuclease, found in archaea, bacteria and eukarya as well as chloroplasts and mitochondria. Lineage: Bacteria; Bacillati; Cyanobacteriota; Cyanophyceae; Chroococcales; Chroococcaceae. The record is from RNAcentral.
AGAGUAGGCGCAGGUGGUUGCAAAUUAGGCACGGCAGCUAAUUUGAGGAAAGUCCGGGCUUCCGAAAGACCAAACUUGCUGGGUAACGCCCAGUGCGAGCGAUCGUGAGGAUAGUGCCACAGAAAGAUACCGCCGAUUUCUACGGAAAUAGGUAAGGGUGCAAAGGUGCGGUAAGAGCGCACCAGCAGCGCCGAGAGACGCUGGCUCGGUAAACCCCGGUUGGAAGCAAGGUCAAAGGAAUAACGGUUGGUCUUUUACCUAUUCCACUGCCUAAUAACCGCUUGAGGCGCUUGGUAACAAUCGUCCCAGAUAGAUAACCGCCCUGGUGGAAAAGAAAGAUGUAGCACCGCUACGUCUCUACAUUAUCAUCAGAACAGAACCCGGCUUAUGUCCGACUCUUUCC